CGUCUAGAAAUUUGUAAAAUUCGAUAGUAAAAUUAUAAUAAUAACCUAAUAAUCUUGUUUUUACGGCACACAUUUAUAAAAAAUUCAAAUACGACGAAUAUUACACACGGCAUUACGUAUUCGUGAUACGUAGUUAAUUUUAUGUCUCUAAUAAAAGUGAAUAGUUUUUUCGAAAACUAAACUACCGUCACACUAUCUGUAGCUAUAUAAAACCUUUAAUCAUUUUUUCGCUCAAGCGAAUUAGG
Molecule: non-coding RNA, 245 nt
Organism: Cinara cedri
Lineage: Eukaryota; Metazoa; Arthropoda; Insecta; Hemiptera; Aphididae
Source: the annotation of a GenBank genome assembly